CAGCCGCCGCGGUAAUACCGGCGGCCCGAGUGGCGGCCACUAUUAUUGGGCUUAAAGCGUCCGUAGCCGGGUUGGUUAGUCUCCCGGGAAAUCUGGCCGCUUAACGGUCAGAAUUCCGGGAGAUACUGCCAGCCUAGGGACCGGGAGAGGCCGAGGGUAUUCCCGGAGUAGGGGUGAAAUCCUAUAAUCCCGGGAGGACCACCUGUGGCGAAGGCGCUCGGCUGGAACGGGUCCGACGGUGAGGGACGAAGGCCAGGGGAGCAAACCGGAUUAGAUACCCGGGUAGUCCUGGCUGUAAACGAUGCGGACUUUGUGUCGGACAAGCUAUGAGCUGGUCCGGUGCCGGAGGGAAACCGUUAAGUCCGCCGCCUGGGGAGUACGGCCGCAAGGCUGAAACUUAAAGGAAUUGGCGGG
RNAcentral lists this ribosomal RNA (414 nucleotides) under uncultured microorganism. RNAcentral describes it as "bacterial SSU rRNA". It matches the Rfam family "Archaeal small subunit ribosomal RNA", at positions 459 to 872 of the family's 1478-position model. The record is from RNAcentral.